Molecule: ribosomal RNA, 348 nt
Filed under: uncultured bacterium
Lineage: Bacteria
Description: bacterial SSU rRNA
Rfam family: Bacterial small subunit ribosomal RNA
Source: RNAcentral
AGAGUUUGAUCAUGGCUCAGGACGAACGCUGGCGGCGUGCCUAACACAUGCAAGUCGAACGGAGAUGUUUAUUUCGGUAGACAUCUUAGUGGCGCACGGGUGAGUAACGCGUGAAUAACCUGACCCGAAGAGGGGGAUAACACCUGGAAACAAGUGCUAAUACCGCAUAAGACCACGGACCGGCAUCGGUCAGAGGUCAAAGGAGGAAUCCGCUUUGGGAGGGGUUCGCGUCCCAUUAGGUAGUUGGUGAGGUAACGGCCCACCAAGCCGACGAUGGGUAGCCGAGCUGAGAGGCUGAUCGGCCACACUGGAACUGAGACACGGUCCAGACUCCUACGGGAGGUAGCA